UUUUACGUAGGUGCUGCAUGGUUGUCGUCAGCUCGUGCCGUGAGGUGUCGGGUUAAGUCCCAUAACGAGCGCAACCCUACCCUUUAGUUGCCAUCAGGUAAUGCUGGGGACGUCUAAAGGAACUGCCUACGCAAGUAGUGAGGAAGGCGGGGAGUGACGUCAAAUCAGCACGGCCCUUACGUCCAGGGCUACACACGUGCUACAAUGGCCGAUACAGAGGGCAGCUACCUGGUGACAGGAUGCAAAUCUCCAAAGUCGGUCUCAGUUCGGAUCGGAGUCUGCAACCCGACUCCGUGAAGUUGGAUUCGCUAGUAAUCGCGCAUCAGCCAUGGCGCGGUGAAUACGUUCCCGGGCCUU
Molecule: ribosomal RNA, 357 nt
Filed under: uncultured Sphingobacteriales bacterium
Lineage: Bacteria; Pseudomonadati; Bacteroidota; Sphingobacteriia; Sphingobacteriales
Description: bacterial SSU rRNA
Rfam family: Bacterial small subunit ribosomal RNA
Source: RNAcentral